UAGUCCACGCCGUAAACGAUGGAUACUAGCUGUGCGGACUCCGGUCUGCGUGGCUAAGCGAAAGUGAUAAGUAUCCCACCUGGGGAGUACGUUCGCAAGAAUGAAACUCAAAGGAAUUGACGGGGGCCCGCACAAGCGGUGGAGCAUGUGGUUUAAUUCGAUGAUACGCGAGGAACCUUACCAGGGCUUAAAUGUAGUGGGACAGGCGUGGAAACACGCCCUUCUUCGGACUCAUUACAAGGUGCUGCAUGGUUGUCGUCGGCUCGUGCCGUGAGGUGUCAGGUUAAGUCCUAUAACGAGCGCAACCCCUGUCGUUAGUUGCCAGCAUGUAAAGAUGGGAACUCUAGCGAGACUGCCGGUGCAAACCGCGAGGAAGGUGGGGAUGACGUCAAAUCAUCACGGCCCUUACGUCCUGGGCUACACACGUGCUACAAUGGCCGGUACAGAGGGCAGCCACACCGCAAGGUGGAGCGAAUCCUUAAAACCGGUCUCAGUUCGGAUCGGGGUCUGCAACUCCG
This 518-nucleotide ribosomal RNA is filed under the name uncultured bacterium. Its description in RNAcentral is "bacterial SSU rRNA". It matches the Rfam family "Bacterial small subunit ribosomal RNA", at positions 791 to 1314 of the family's 1533-position model. The record is from RNAcentral.